UGUCGUCAGCUGGAACGAGGAAGAAAAAGAACACUCAGUGAAGUCACUGUGAGCUGUGUUGAAACAGAGACACUUGUUGAAAGGACUUACGACUUGUACGACGUGCCCACAGUGUAACAUUCCUAAGAAGCGAUGACAUCGCAUAGGGAGAAUUUCGCCAGCUAGGGAGCCGUCAGCAGUUUCACUCAUCAUCAUCGGUCCGGAACACGACGAAAAAGAGUAUAAACACGUGUGCUGUGCCACAUAUCAGUUGGAACUGGCUGCCACUGGCAACACUGCCCAUCCACCAUCCAUCAGCUGUGCACGAAUGGAUCACUUAUGAUGAAAUCAGUACUGAUAAGUUUGGCGUAAUGCUAUACUCAACCCUUCACGUGAUGAACUGUUCCAACAUAUCUGGAAAGUGGUCUUCCUCCGUGGGCUUUCUUUUUUGACUCGUUUUCUUCCCUUUGCGCGUUCCACAUUCCUUCAUUCCUUUUUUCGCCAUGCGCUCGCACACUCUUGAUCCGACUGCAACCGACAUCAGUACCGGUUGACGCAUUUUUAACAAGCCUUCCUUUCCGGGUUCGUCCCACAACAAAAUUUUAAAGCUUCCCACUUUAGCCCCGCUUGGGUCAUUUCCCACAAAACUCCUACCUUACAUUCUAACAUUUCUCAUAAACACCAUCUCACGACGUUCUACAAAAAAAAAGUAUUUUCGCACCAGCCAACAUCCAGCGAUAAUUUUCAACACACACACACACACCGCGACGGAGAGUUGGGAGUCGUCCCGCCCGCCUGAGCAGAGAGUGCGCAAAAGCAAUCACAGAACCGGUUUUCAUUUUCGAUCUGACUUAUUUGAUUUAACAGAGUGAGAUCAUUUUGAAAGCUGAUUUUGUACGGAGAACUCAACCCAAGUUUGCGCAUCGGUGGUGGCGGCGGCGGCGGCGGCGACGAGGGACGACACGCGGUUCGAGCAUUCAAAGUGUUAACAAUUACGUAACGGGGUUGUACCCAGAAGGUAAAGGUUUGUGUCAUUGAGAAUAAAAUUUAUUUAAUGAUGAAUUAU
This is a long non-coding RNA of Culex quinquefasciatus (southern house mosquito), 1045 nucleotides long. RefSeq lists it as uncharacterized. NCBI's taxonomy places the organism in Eukaryota, Metazoa, Arthropoda, Insecta, Diptera, Culicidae. The record is from RefSeq and is a predicted model, not a curated record. The transcript is spliced from 5 exons.